RNAcentral lists this transfer RNA (65 nucleotides) under Dipodomys ordii (Ord's kangaroo rat). It matches the Rfam family "tRNA". From Rfam's summary of the family: Transfer RNA (tRNA) molecules are approximately 80 nucleotides in length. Their secondary structure includes four short double-helical elements and three loops (D, anti-codon, and T loops). Further hydrogen bonds mediate the characteristic L-shaped molecular structure. tRNAs have two regions of fundamental functional importance: the anti-codon, which is responsible for specific mRNA codon recognition, and the 3' end, to which the tRNAs corresponding amino acid is attached (by aminoacyl-tRNA synthetases). tRNAs cope with the degeneracy of the genetic code in two manners: having more than one tRNA (with a specific anti-codon) for a particular amino acid; and 'wobble' base-pairing, i.e. permitting non-standard base-pairing at the 3rd anti-codon position. The record is from Rfam by way of RNAcentral. Lineage: Eukaryota; Metazoa; Chordata; Mammalia; Rodentia; Heteromyidae.
GGUGGCUUAGUGGUAGAGUGCUUGCCUUGCAUGCAUGAGGCCCUGGGUUCGGUUCCUCAGCACCA